This 329-nucleotide ribosomal RNA is filed under the name uncultured eukaryote. Its description in RNAcentral is "partial 18S ribosomal RNA". It matches the Rfam family "Eukaryotic small subunit ribosomal RNA", at positions 1470 to 1796 of the family's 1831-position model. The record is from RNAcentral.
CCCUUAGAUGUUCUGGGCCGCACGCGCGCUACACUGACAGAGCCAACGAGUUCUUUGCCUUGGCCGGAAGGUCUGGGUAAUCUUGUUAAACUCUGUCGUGCUGGGGAUAGAGCAUUGCAAUUAUUGCUCUUCAACGGGGAAUGCCUAGUAAGCGCGUGUCAUCAGCAUGCGUUGAUUACGUCCCUGCCCUUUGUACACACCGCCCGUCGCUACUACCGAUUGAAUGGCUCAGUGAGGCCUUCGGACUGGCUCGGGGAGGUUGGCAACGACCACCCCAAGCCGGAAAGUUCGUCAAACUCGGUCAUUUAGAGGAAGUAAAAGUCGUAACA